GGGGAAAAGCUCAAAUUUUAAAUCUGCUAGGUUUUACUUAUCAGAAUUGUAAUUUGAAGAAGCGUUUUCCGCGUCUCAGUUGGCCCAAAUCCUUUGGGAUGAGGUAUCAUGGAGGGUGAGAAUCCCGUUCGGCUGACCUUAUGACGUUUUACGAUACGCUUUCUAA
This 166-nucleotide ribosomal RNA is filed under the name Glomus sp. RNAcentral's name for it is "partial large subunit ribosomal RNA". It matches the Rfam family "Eukaryotic large subunit ribosomal RNA", at positions 99 to 261 of the family's 3401-position model. The record is from RNAcentral. Lineage: Eukaryota; Fungi; Glomeromycota; Glomeromycetes; Glomerales; Glomeraceae.